This 200-nucleotide ribosomal RNA is filed under the name uncultured Oscillatoria sp. RNAcentral describes it as "partial 16S ribosomal RNA". It matches the Rfam family "Bacterial small subunit ribosomal RNA", at positions 1209 to 1408 of the family's 1533-position model. The record is from RNAcentral. Lineage: Bacteria; Bacillati; Cyanobacteriota; Cyanophyceae; Oscillatoriales; Oscillatoriaceae.
CUGGGCUACACACGUACUACAAUGGUAGGGACAGAGGGCAGCCAACCCGCGAGGGCGAGCUAAUCCCGUAAACCCUGCCUCAGUUCAGAUUGCAGGCUGCAACUCGCCUGCAUGAAGGCGGAAUCGCUAGUAAUCGCAGGUCAGCAUACUGCGGUGAAUCCGUUCCCGGGCCUUGUACACACCGCCCGUCGACGCGGCCG